CCUACGGGUGGCAGCAGUAGGGAAUCUUCCACAAUGUUCUAAAUCCUUAUUUCUCCCCUCCUCUUUUUUGAAGAAGGUCUUCGGAUCGUAAAACCCUGUUGUUAGAGAAGAAAGUGCGUGAGAGUAACUGUUCACGUUUCGACGGUAUCUAACCAGAAAGCCACGGCUAACUACGUGCCAGCAGCCGCGGUAAUACGUAGGUGGCAAGCGUUAUCCGGAUUUAUUGGGCGUAAAGGGCACGCAGGCGGUCUUUUAAGUCUGAUGUGAAAGCCUUCGGCUUAACCGGAGUAGUGCAUUGGAAACUGGGAGACUUGAGUGCAGAAGAGGAGAGUGGAACUCCAUGUGUAGCGGUGAAAUGCGUAGAUAUAUGGAAGAACACCAGUGGCGAAAGCGGCUCUCUGGUCUGUAACUGACGCUGAGGUUCGAAAGCGUGGGUAGCAAACAGGAUUAGAUACCCGAGUAGUC
This 465-nucleotide ribosomal RNA is filed under the name uncultured bacterium. RNAcentral's name for it is "partial 16S ribosomal RNA". It matches the Rfam family "Bacterial small subunit ribosomal RNA", at positions 338 to 795 of the family's 1533-position model. The record is from RNAcentral.